RNAcentral lists this ribosomal RNA (254 nucleotides) under uncultured bacterium. RNAcentral's name for it is "partial 16S ribosomal RNA". It matches the Rfam family "Bacterial small subunit ribosomal RNA", at positions 524 to 776 of the family's 1533-position model. The record is from RNAcentral.
GACGAACCGUGCGAACGUUAUUCGGAAUCACUGGGCUUAAAGCGCGUGUAGGCGGCCCGGCACGUCAUCGGCUGAAAUCCCCCGGCUCAACCGGGGAAGGGGCCAUGAUACGACCGGGCUGGAGGCCGGUAGGGGGCGCCGGAACUCACGGUGGAGCGGUGAAAUGCGUUGAGAUCGUGAGGAACGCCCGUGGCGAAAGCGGGCGCCUGGACCGGGCCUGACGCUGAGACGCGAAAGCCAGGGGAGCGAACGGG